This 280-nucleotide unclassified non-coding RNA is filed under the name Oryza sativa (Asian cultivated rice). The record is from RNAcentral. Lineage: Eukaryota; Viridiplantae; Streptophyta; Magnoliopsida; Poales; Poaceae.
GAGAAGUAUCUGUAGCAAUCACCUAAUUCGGUGCAAUAAUGCAACUCUCAUUCUACACUGUUGGAUCGAGAAAUGGACAUCCGAGAUUCGUCCACGUCAUCAUGAGUUAAAAUUUAACUCGCAGGCUCAUGAAUUAAAAUUUACAUGGAAGUUAAAUUUUAACUCAUGGUGACGUGGACGAAUCUCGGACGUCCAUUUUCCAAUCCAACGGUGUAGGAUGAAAGUUGCAUUAUUGCACCGAAUUAGGUGAUUGCACCGGAUACUUUCCCUCUUCUCCCCU